Molecule: long non-coding RNA, 389 nt
Organism: Actinia tenebrosa (Australian red waratah sea anemone)
Lineage: Eukaryota; Metazoa; Cnidaria; Anthozoa; Actiniaria; Actiniidae
Source: RefSeq, a predicted model, not a curated record
UCGCCGAUUUAUGGCGAUGACAACGCGUAUCAAAUAUGCGUAUCAGUUCGAGUUUGAUCAUUUGAUCAUCCCAAAGCCGUUGUUUCAGGGUUUGAUCUGUGACUGUUAACUGUGCCCUGACUUUGAUCAGAUAGAGCGGUUGUUUCAGCCUGUGAGUUAGUAUAGCCGUGCCCUGUGGACUGAUCAAAUUCAGCUUAUGCCAAGUCCAGGAGAAGGGUGUCGGGGAAGGGAGUAAAGGAGUGGAGGAGGAUGCCUUCGUACGUGAUCUACUCAUUCUAUUGUCCUGUUGACCCAGCUGCUCCAUGACUGACCAACGUGGAAUUUGCAAAAGAAACUGACUUUAUACCUUGAAAUUAAGCUCUUUUUGAAUAAAUAAAAUCACUAUCCUU